RNAcentral lists this ribosomal RNA (200 nucleotides) under uncultured bacterium. Its description in RNAcentral is "partial 16S ribosomal RNA". It matches the Rfam family "Bacterial small subunit ribosomal RNA", at positions 29 to 257 of the family's 1533-position model. The record is from RNAcentral.
AACGAACGCUGGCGGCAGGCUUAACACAUGCAAGUCGAGCGCCUCGCAAGAGGAGCGGCAGACGGGUGAGUAACGCGUGGGAAUCUACCGUGCCCUAAGGAAUAGCUCCGGGAAACUGGAAUUAAUACCUUAUACGGCCCUUCGGGGAAAGAUUUAUCGGGGUAUGAUCGAGCCCGCGUUGGAUUAGCUAGUUGGUGGGU